GGUUUGCGCAUCUCUGCGCUCACGGGCUGUUCGCCACUUUGUGGCUGCCCUGCGCGGAGCGCGCCGGACGGCCGGCGACGGACUAUCGUCCUGUAGGGUGGUUGGUUUUACUGAUCAUCUUAUGCCAGGAAUGGGCCCGUAGCUCAGUCGGUUAGAGCACACGCUUGAUAAGCGUGGGGUCGGUAGUUCGAGUCUACCCGGGCCCACCAUUUGGUUUGACUGUUUCCUGAACCCCUAACGGUGACGUUAGGUGUUGCGA
Molecule: unclassified non-coding RNA, 259 nt
Filed under: Agrobacterium sp. SL26
Lineage: Bacteria; Pseudomonadati; Pseudomonadota; Alphaproteobacteria; Hyphomicrobiales; Rhizobiaceae
Description: 16S-23S ribosomal RNA intergenic spacer
Rfam family: tRNA (bases 133-206)
Source: RNAcentral